CCCACAGGAGCAGCUUUGUGCUGCCCUGCAUUCCCACAGGAGCAGCUUUUUACUCCCUGCAUUCCCACAGGAGCAGCUUUGUGCCCCCUGCAUUCCCAGAGGAGCAGCUUUGUGCUGCCCUGCAUUGCCAGAGGAGCAGCUUUGUGCUCCCUGCAUUCCCAGAGGAGCAGCUUUGUGCUCCCUGCACUCCCAGAGGAGCAGCUUUGUGCUGCCCUGCAUUCCCACAGGAGCAGCUUUGUGCUGCCCUGCAUUCCCAGAGGAGCAGCUUUGUGCUCCCUGCAUUCCCAGAGGAGCAGCCUUUGCCCCCUGCAUUGCCAGAGGAGCAGCUUUGUGCCCCCUGCAUUGCCAGAGGAGCAGCUUUGUGCUCCCUGCACUCCCAGAGGAGCAGCUUUGUGCUGCCCUGCAUUCCCAGAGGAGCAGCUUUGUGCCCCCUGCAUUCCCACAGGAGCAGCUUUGUGCUGCCCUGCACUGCCACAGGAGCAGCUUUGUGCCCCCUGCACUGCCAGAGGAGCAGCUCUGUGCCCCCUGCAUUGCCAGAGGAGCAGCUUUGUGCUCCCUGCAUUCCCAGAGGAGCAGCUUUGUGCUGCCUGCAUUCCCAGAGGAGCAGCUUUGUGCCCCCUGCAUUCCAGAGGAGCAGCUUUGUGCUGCCCUGCACUCCCACAGGAGCAGCUUUGUGCCCCCUGCAUUGCCAGAGGAGCAGCUUUGUGCUCCCUGCACUCCCACAGGAGCAGCUUUGUGCCCCCUGCAUUGCCAGAGGAGCAGCUUUGUGCCCCCUGCAUUGCCAGAGGAGCAGCUUUGUGCCCCCUGCAUGGCCAGAGGAGCAGCUUUGUGCCCCCUGCAUGGCCAGGGGAGCAGCUUUGUGCCCCCUGCAUGGCCAGAGGAGCAGCUUUGUGCCCCCUGCACUGCCAGAGGAGCAGCUUUGUGCCCCCUGCACUCCCAGAGGAGCAGCUUUGUGCUGCCCUGCAUUCCCAGAGGAGCAGCUUUGUGCCCCCUGCAUUCCCACAGGAGCCCAGG
This 1014-nucleotide long non-coding RNA is filed under the name Zonotrichia albicollis (white-throated sparrow). RNAcentral describes it as "lncRNA (ENSZALG00000007675.1)". Lineage: Eukaryota; Metazoa; Chordata; Aves; Passeriformes; Passerellidae. The record is from RNAcentral.